Onychomys torridus (southern grasshopper mouse) is the source of this 571-nucleotide non-coding RNA. Lineage: Eukaryota; Metazoa; Chordata; Mammalia; Rodentia; Cricetidae. The record is from the annotation of a RefSeq genome assembly.
AGUCUCCUGAGACUGUCUCCUCACAAUGAAGUUUCCUGUUGUGCUGUUGGUGUUGCUAUUGCUCAGGAUUCCUGCUUCCAGAAGUGACAUUGUGAUGAUCCAAACUCUACUCUCCCUGCCUGUCAGCCUUGGAGAUAAAGCCUCCAUCUCCUGCAGGUCUAGUCAGAGCGUUGUACAUAGUAAUGGAAACACCUAUUUGCAAUGGUACCUGCAGAAGCCAGGCCAGUCUCCACAGCUCCUGAUAUACAAGGUUUCCAACAGAUUUUCUGGAGUCCCAGACAGGUUCAGUGGCAGUGGGUCAGUCACAGACUUCACACUCAAGAUCAGCAGAGUGGAGCCUGAGGAUUUGGGAGUGUAUUACUGUUUGCAAGGUUCAUAUAUUCCUCGCACAGUGAUUCAGACCCUAACAAAAACAUCUUUGCUUAGGGCGUCCAGCUGCCAAAGAUGUUACAUCUCUAUGAAAGAGAAGUGCUGGGGAACUCCUCAUGGAUUGCAGCUGAGGGCCUUGGAGCAUGAGUACCAUGGCUACACCUCACUGGCCAUGCAUUUCUGGCCUCAUCAGCUGCAAUAA